RNAcentral lists this ribosomal RNA (462 nucleotides) under uncultured bacterium. RNAcentral describes it as "partial 16S ribosomal RNA". It matches the Rfam family "Bacterial small subunit ribosomal RNA", at positions 28 to 507 of the family's 1533-position model. The record is from RNAcentral.
GACGAACGCUGGCGGCGUGCUUAACACAUGCAAGUCGAACGGAAAGGCCCUUCGGGGUACUCGAGUGGCGAACGGGUGAGUAACACGUGGGUGAUCUGCCCUGCACUUUGGGAUAAGCCUGGGAAACUGGGUCUAAUACCGAAUAGGACCACGCGCUUCAUGGUGUGUGGUGGAAAGCUUUUGCGGUGUGGGAUGGGCCCGCGGCCUAUCAGCUUGUUGGUGGGGUAAUGGCCUACCAAGGCGACGACGGGUAGCCGGCCUGAGAGGGUGACCGGCCACACUGGGACUGAGAUACGGCCCAGACUCCUACGGGAGGCAGCAGUGGGGAAUAUUGCACAAUGGGUGCAAGCCUGAUGCAGCGACGCCGCGUGAGGGAUGACGGCCUUCGGGUUGUAAACCUCUUUCAAUAGGGACGAAGCGCAAGUGACGGUACCUAUAGAAGAAGCACCGGCCAACUACGUG